This 216-nucleotide ribosomal RNA is filed under the name uncultured fungus. RNAcentral's name for it is "partial small subunit ribosomal RNA". The stretch from base 39 to 216 matches the Rfam family "Eukaryotic small subunit ribosomal RNA", at positions 685 to 864 of the family's 1831-position model. Lineage: Eukaryota; Fungi. The record is from RNAcentral.
GGAUCAGCGCGUCGGUCGUGCCACCGGUAUGUACUGGCUUUACUGGUUCCUCCUUCUUGAAGAACUGUGAUGUCAUUUAUUUGGUGUUGCAGGGAAACAGGACUGUUACUUUGAAAAAAUUAGAGUGUUUAAAGCAGGCUAACGCUUGAAUACAUUAGCAUGGAAUAAUGAAAUAGGACGUUUGAUCCUAUUUUGUUGGUUUCUAGGAUUGACGUA